Molecule: transfer RNA, 80 nt
Filed under: Halorientalis pallida
Lineage: Archaea; Methanobacteriati; Methanobacteriota; Halobacteria; Halobacteriales; Haloarculaceae
Description: Halorientalis sp. F13-25 tRNA-Ser
Rfam family: tRNA
About the family: Transfer RNA (tRNA) molecules are approximately 80 nucleotides in length. Their secondary structure includes four short double-helical elements and three loops (D, anti-codon, and T loops).
Source: RNAcentral
GGAAGGGUGGCUCAGUGGUAGAGCGCCGAUGGUUGGAAACCCGCAAUGGGCUUCGCGUGGUUCAAAUCCCGCCCCUUCCG